AACGAACGCUGGCGGCAAGCUUAACACAUGCAAGUCGAACGCACCUAGCAAUAGGUGAGUGGCAGACGGGUGAGUAACGCGUGGGAACAUGCCCUUUGGUUCGGAAUAGCACAUGGAAACGUGUGGUAAUACCGGAUAAGCCCGAGAGGGGAAAGAUUUAUUGCCAAAGGAUUGGCCCGCGUCCGAUUAGCUAGUUGGUAGAGUAAUAGCCUACCAAGGCGACGAUCGGUAGCUGGUCUGAGAGGAUGAUCAGCCACAUUGGGACUGAGACACGGCCCAAACUUCUACGGAAGGCAGCAGUGGGGAAUAUUGGACAAUGGGCGCAAGCCUGAUCCAGCUAUGCCGCGUGAGUGACCAGAAGGCCUUAGGGUUGUAAAGCUCUUUCAGUAGUGAAGAUAAUGACGGUAACUACAGAAGAAGCCCCGGCUAACUUCGUGCCAGCCGCCGCCGUAA
This 453-nucleotide ribosomal RNA is filed under the name uncultured bacterium. RNAcentral describes it as "partial 16S ribosomal RNA". It matches the Rfam family "Bacterial small subunit ribosomal RNA", at positions 29 to 523 of the family's 1533-position model. The record is from RNAcentral.